This 2845-nucleotide long non-coding RNA is filed under the name Homo sapiens (human). RNAcentral describes it as "HSALNT0140404". The record is from RNAcentral. Lineage: Eukaryota; Metazoa; Chordata; Mammalia; Primates; Hominidae.
CAAGCAGGCAGGGACCGAGAGGGGUGAUGGCGCGCCCACCCCUGCAGAGCCGCCUGCGCGGUUGUCCCGCGCGUCCCUGCCGGCGAAGGCUGUGAGAAGCACCGCGGGGCUACGGCGCCUCCAUCCUCUCUAACAGCCGCGCUUACCAGACAGCCAGCCUCCAGCGCUGCUAGGCUACUCCGAGCAGGGGAGAAAAGACGCCGGUCCGCCGGGGACCAGGAGGGAGACGUGAAACCAGAGGCCCGGGGGCCCCCUCUCCGCCUGUGCGACUUGUAGUCUCGUACCAGACGCGUCCGCUUCACUGCUGAAUCUGAAAACGUGGGCUCUUGAGAGCUGCCCUUGGAAGGAGCUGUGCUUUCUGCCUCAUCUUUAACUUUUCGUUUAUUCAGCAAAUAUGUAUCAAGUUCCGACUUCGUGGAAGAGAUUGUGUUAGACACUGGGAGUAAUAGAAACAUAAUUAAGAAGCAGGGGUCCCGGACCUGAAGGGCCUGAGCGUCGGGAAUUGGCUGAAGUAAUUAUGUAGGCCGAGAAGUCCCAGAAUCUGCAGUUCACAAGCUGGAGACCCAGGAGAGCCAAUAUGUCAUUUCAGUUCAAGUCCAAAGGCUGGAGAACCAGAAGAGCUGAUGGUUUAUUUCCUGUCUGAAAGCAAACAGGGUGGAGACCCAAGGAAAACAGAUGACUGAGUCCUACUGGGAAGGCUAGAAAAGAUGACGUCCCAAGUCAAUCAGUCUGGUGGGAGCAGUUUCCUGUUCUGAAGGCUGAGAAGUUCAAGAGCAAGUGCUGGCAUCUGAUGAGGGCCUUCUUGCUGUAUCAUCCUACGGUGGAAGGGUUUCACUGUAUCUCCCAGGCUGGAAUAUAGUGGAGAUCAUGGCUCACUGCAACCUUGACCUCCUGGGCUCAAGCGGUCUUCACACCUCAGCCUCCCCAGUAGCUGAUCCUACAGGUUCUUUCAAACUGGGAAAGCUCAUUAAAAGAAAAAUGAGAAAAUCUAUUGGCUGGAUCCUGAACCCUUGGAAGCUCUGUCUGGAUACAUUCUUCUCUGGCAGGAUGCUCUAUGUGGCUCUUUCCAUGUGUAGUUUCCAAUGAAACAGGAAGGACUCUAAUUGAGUGCCUGCCCACAUCUCUACAGCUCCACACCUUCCACUAAGGGCACAAUAAGACCUCCACUGUGAGAGGCUCCACAGUGUACUACGUUGGUGAUGGCAUAUUCUGAGGGGCUGAUCUGCAGAAAAGGCCAAGUGAAAAGUCACCCAAUAAUGAGAAAGGAGGAAGAUGGCAUGUAGAAUGCAUGAAUAGGAAAUUAUAUUGAGAAAUCCAGAUGUGCAGUUGUGCAAGAGCAAGCUGGUGUGGAUUUUUGAAUGGAUAUUCUGAAGACAACUAGGUAGUGCAUGAAGGCUUCUUAGAUGAAGAGUAAUGGGGAUGUCUUACACAGCAAGAUGAGAAAACACAGACCACUUGGCUCUCUAGCGAGGACCAGAAUUUGAGUCAAAAUUAUAUGCCGGAUGCCAUGUUGUCAGCUGCCCUAUGGAGAGACCCAUGUGGGCAAGGAACUCUGGCCAACAGAUGGUCUGGGUGGUCUCUGGUCCACAGCCAGGGAAGAGCUGAGCACCUCUGACCAGAGGCUUAUGACAAACUGAAUCCUGCCAGCAAGACACCAACCAAUCCAGAAGUAUCAGCCAUCUCCCUAUGCAGGGUGCCAGAGGACCAGGUUCUAGCCCAUUCAUUGCUGGAUUGCGGAGGACUCCAGGUGGUCUGGGAAAAGGAGUGGAGCAACAUGCAGCAUGUCCCAGCAAAGCUUCGCAAAGAUGUCAGUAUUAAUUGUCACCAUCCUCCAGGGAGAAAGCAACAGCCCACAAUUGCCUGCAUUUUCUUUCCUCUUCAAAACCACUUCUGCUCCAAAGACCAUGAACCUGAACUGAAGAAACGACUCCUUCCUGCUGGUGUGAGAUAAUUCAGUCUCCAUGAUGUCUUAAUCCUGGGCCUCCCUUAAUUGACUUCUAACUGUGCUGAACUGUGGCUGCUAGGAGUUGCAAUGUGGAUCGCAAUUUACAAGGCACUGGAAUCGUUUCUUGUCUUCAAAUUAGUCCUGAGCUGUACUGGAGAAAGAAAAAAAAGGGGCCUUUACCCUUCUUGCUGUCUUGUCACCACAAGUGAGACUUUCUUACAGUCUCAGAAUGGAUGGUUGCCUUUUAACAAUUUAGUUAGGGACAGAAAGGAAAAAGAGUUAGGGUUGCCAAUACUUCGUCAAUUUUGUCUUAAUAAAGUUGCCUCACAUGGCGGAAGAGAAAAAGACCGGUCUCUGUUUGGAAAUUACAAACAUAGAAGAACUUAGAAACAAUGGGUUUCUAGAUUGGGUGGAAGGACUGGCUUGGGAUCCUGAGAGAGCAAGAAAAGUUUACCGGGAGCUUCAGAAAAAGUUAUUCAUCAUUUUUGGAGUGGAUAUUCAGAAGUGACUUCCCUCUUUUGCUCUGGGGCAACCAGCCCAGUUCAAUUUGCCUGGGGGCUUUUGACUCUACAAUCUCUUCCAACAUUAAACAAGUGAAUCCUGCGCACCCUCAGACUUCAGAAGAACUGACCCAAGGACAAAGGUCCACCCAGGCCAUGGAAGAGGCUCCUCAACCGUUUGGGUGCCUGGCUACUUCAAGAGUUGAGCUAAUCACAGGGAAGAUUCAGUCUCAGUUCAGCUGCCUCAUUUGAUCAGCUCAAGACUGAGUCCAACAAAAGUGGUCUGUCUAAUGAAACUCAUUUUCAUUUUUUCUCAUUAGUCUAUACACGAUUGAGACUGUAGAACGACAAAAGAAUAAAAAGAAGAAUGACAAUUAAAAAUCAUUUUCUCUGGCCCUUG